RNA transcript from Juglans microcarpa x Juglans regia, 1885 nucleotides. It is a transcript of the gene named F-box protein CPR1-like, with no coding region annotated. The transcript is spliced from 4 exons. NCBI's taxonomy places the organism in Eukaryota, Viridiplantae, Streptophyta, Magnoliopsida, Fagales, Juglandaceae. The record is from RefSeq and is a predicted model, not a curated record.
UUUUUUUUUUUGUUAGUUUUGCUGUUUGUACAGUUCUCGACCUCCUGUCCCUAACGGCCACGUUUUGUAGUCGUCGCGGGCAGUUCCAAUCCAAUAACUUCACACCCUCGUCCACGUGUCGUUUAUCUUCAACGACUUCCUGGACUUGGAGCCACUGACUGACUGCUCAGUCCUACUCCUAAUUGCUAAUUUCAAGUACCCAAUCUCAUUAUCCUAACCUAACCCUUAACACUUGUUGCCCUCCGAUCAACCCAGCCAUGGCGAGCCUCCCGAAAGAUCUACUCAUAUGCAUACUCUGCCAGCUACCAGUCAAACCACUCCUUCAGUUCCGCUCCGUCUCCAAGUCAUGGCGCCAUCUCUUUGAUAGUCCGCUCUUUGUCGAUCUCCACCUCAAGAAUUCCAUAGGAACCGGCUCCAACCUCGCCCUCAUUCUCCAAAAGGACUCCGAGCUCUACUCCGUUGAGCUCAACCUCUUGAACGACCCUGUCGAGCUCGUUCACCCUUUGAUGUGCUACAGCCAUCGAAUUCAAGUUCUGGGCUCCUGCAACGGGUUGCUCUGUAUCGCUAACGUGGCCGAAGAUAUCGCUUUUUGGAACCCAGCCAUCAGACAGCACAAGGUCUUGCCCUUUUUACCAGCCGAGCCAAACAACAACUGCGGGUCGAGCUAUCUGGGCGCGCGGGUUUACGGGUUCGGGUACGACUCGGUUCAUGACGAUCACAAGCUGGUGAGGAUUUCGCAGUUUAUUAAUUUAAAAAACGAUGGGUUUGUCUCGAAGGUUAAGGUCUAUAGUCUGAGAGAGAAUGAGUUGAGAGACUCCAAAGACAUGCCUUAUGUUCUCUGUUACACGAAGAAAAACGGGACACUUGCUAGUGGUUGUUUGCAUUGGGUGGUGAACAGGAAGUUCAAAUUUGACGAUUCUGAUCUGAUUGUCGCGUUUGAUCUUACGGUUGAGAGUUUUCGGGAGGUGCCGAUGCCGGAAUGUGCGGUGGAGAAGUUUCAAAUAGACGUAGGAGUGUUGGGUGGGUGCUUUUGUAUGGUUGCGAAUUACCAUGAUAUUCGCGUUGAUGUUUGGGUGAUGAAGGAGUAUGGGGUUAAGGAGUCUUGGGCCAAGCUGUUUACGGUCGAACAAGAAGUAAUAUUUUUUGGUGGGACUUUCACGUAUUUGAGACCCUUGGCCUAUUCAAAGAGUGGUGAGGAGGUUCUGUUGGAACAGAACCAUGAGAGGCUUGUGUGGUACGAUUUGAGAAAGAAAAAGAUCAAGAACGUGAAUCUUGGCGGUCUGCCUGCUCCGUUUGAGGCUCAUAUUUGUGUCGGAAGUCUUGUCCCGGCUGAGGUGAAUAGAGAAGACAAUGAGAAGCAGCAGAAUUUAGGAGCAGAGAAGAUCAAGAGCAAGAAAAGAUGACAUGCUUGGAUGAUUUUGGUUAUGGUCCCACUCAGGGUAGAGAUAUGUGUAAUUUUGUUCACACUUUAAUGGCUAGGGACGAUUUCCUGUCAAAGGGCUUCAAAUUGGUGUUAUAAGCAAACAGAAAAAUGAAGGAAGCGUGGAAAAUAGGAAAGUGAAAUCAAAUAGAUAUACUUGUGCAUCUGAGAAGAUGGAAGGAAACAAUUACUACUAUGAAAGGUGUCAUAUUCCUAUAUGCUUAAAUGAGUAUACUUGUUCAGUUUUUUCUCCCUGAUACAUAACCUGUUCUUAUACUUUAGUGAGUAUAGAGAUAACUGUGUUGUUGUGAGCCUUGUAGUUUCUGUGUUUUUUGAAGUUUGUAUGCCAAAUGACUAUGUACACCGUUCUGUGUUGUUGAGAUUCCAUUCUCGUUGAUCAGCAGACCUUAACAAGAAUAUAUUUUCGAUCUUUUGGUGCAUAAAUCAAAAUAGUGGGUUCUUGGA